AAGUGACGUCCGCGCCGAGACAGGGAUUGGGGAAGAAUAGUUUUAUUUAGUGCAUUGCAAAAGGAUGGCCUGCUUCCUCUUUAAAAUACAUCCUUAAUAAUGACUUGAAGCAUGUGGACAUAGCAAGCCUAGAUGCCUUCCCAAUUGCCUCCCUGCCCACCCCAUGAAUUUGCAGUGAGAAUGCAGAAAGGAAGGACUCUGGAGGAGGACAGAAGAAAAGUAGGCUGAGAUCUGGUGCUUAGAACCCUAGCUGUCUGGCUUUGAACUUGAGCUGUACCAGAGGAUGACUGACAUAUGCCAUGCUUCUGCUCAAGUGCUGGAAUUACAGAGAAUGCAGUCAGAAAUUAUGCUGCUUGUGAAGAGAUACAUUGAGCCUUUUGGUCCAGUGAAGUUAUUAAGAAUGUGAUUUAAAAUUGUGAUAAAAUCUGGAUUGCUGGGAAGCCAGAAUUUUGUCGUUGGUUAAGAUAAACUUCUAAGGUCUGCCCCUCAGAUUGUCCUACUCAAGAUUUGCCAGCACACCAGGAUGAAUCAAUUGUUUCCAUGGAUAGACACCUUUGGGAGACAGUUGGAAAGCCUUGACUCAAACCCAGGAUCAUGGACAUACUAAACAAUUGCUCUAGCACUGAACUGUAUCUCUGCCUCUGGGGAAGGUAUCUUUAAAAAAAGGUUGUAGAGUUUGCCAGAUCCUAUGAGUGACCUCAAAAGAGAAGAGGAGGGUUCUCCCCUCAGUGAUAAAGAAUUCUGAGGAGUUAAUGCUUCCAUGAAUAUCUCAGAAGGAGACAUGGACAAAGGAACAGGUAUCUCACUCCAAUAGGUUGGACCACAGUGAUCUUUGAUUAAAAGUUUCAUCAUUUCAAUCUGGGGUCUGCUGUUAUGAUGUGUUUCAGCAAUUUCUCUUCCUCACACUGCUCAGAACUGGAUGUGUGAAAAGCUGCAUUGUGAAUAAAAACUCAGUGUGUGUUGGGAGUAGAGUCCUUGUUGCUAUCUGGAUGUAACAACAGCAGUGACACACAAAGCCAAUGCAGAGGAAGGUGUUGCUCAUCAAUGGGUCCAGUACCUGAGGAACAAGAGAACCAACAGGAAGUGGACAGCAGUGUGACCUUUUGAGAGAAGACUUGAGCAAAAAGUUUUUUUGUUUUAGGGGUUGCCUUCCCAGAAAACCACCAUUUAUCCUAAUGGACCAUGGAGGAAUGUUAGACGGAGAAACUUCAAAUCUUGGUCAUCUCUGGAGUUACUCAACAACACCCACCCCCAACUCGACACUGCAGGCUUCUCAGUCCCAAAAGUACUGUGGCUACUACUGGCUAGAGCUGGCUGCUUAAGCUCACCUUGGGCUCUGAGCCACUUUUUUGCUGCUUCACUUUUGAUUUGGGGUUUCCAUUUCUUUUGGAGCCAGAGAAGACCUCCACAUCCAGGGCCCUUCCAACAAGGCUGCGGUGUGCACCUCCUACGAUGGGAAUCUCUACCCAAGAUCCUUGGUCUCAGAGAGAGCUAUACAUUGUGUACCAAGUUGUAAGAAAUAG
RNAcentral lists this long non-coding RNA (1523 nucleotides) under Cricetulus griseus (Chinese hamster). RNAcentral's name for it is "lncRNA (ENSCGRG00015033364.1)". Lineage: Eukaryota; Metazoa; Chordata; Mammalia; Rodentia; Cricetidae. The record is from RNAcentral.